ACCUGGCUGGCUCAGAUGGUAGAGCAUGUGACUCUUGAUCUCAGCAUUGUGAGUUUGAGCCCCAUGUUUGGUG
Molecule: non-coding RNA, 73 nt
Organism: Mustela putorius furo (domestic ferret)
Lineage: Eukaryota; Metazoa; Chordata; Mammalia; Carnivora; Mustelidae
Source: Rfam